Molecule: ribosomal RNA, 417 nt
Filed under: uncultured bacterium
Lineage: Bacteria
Description: bacterial SSU rRNA
Rfam family: Bacterial small subunit ribosomal RNA
Source: RNAcentral
UAAUUUCUUGCCAGCACCCGCGGUAAUACGAAGGCACCUAGCGUAAUUCGGAAUUACUGGGCUUAAAGGGCGCGUAUGGGGUUGAAAGGGUCAGAGGGGAAAUCCCAAAGCUUAACUUUGGAACUGCCAUCGAAACUUUUUAACUGCAGUAUGAUAGAGGAAAGUGGAAUUUCUAGUGUAGAGGUGAAAUUCGUAGAUAUUAGAAAAAAUACCUAUUGCUAACGCAGCUUUCUGGAUCAUUACUGACACUGAUGAACGAAAGCGUGGGGAGCGAAAAGAAUUAGAUACCCUCGUACUCCAUGCCGUAAACGAUGAGUGCUAGACGUUGGAAAUUUAUUUUCAGUGCCGAAUAAACCGCAAUAAAUUCCCCGCCUGGGGAGUACGACCGCCACGUUAAAACUCCAAUGAAUUGACGGG